RNAcentral lists this long non-coding RNA (1331 nucleotides) under Theobroma cacao (cacao). Its description in RNAcentral is "long non-coding RNA (TCAC_LNC003201)". The record is from RNAcentral. Lineage: Eukaryota; Viridiplantae; Streptophyta; Magnoliopsida; Malvales; Malvaceae.
CCUAGGUGAAAAAAUUCAAGGGAAAAGUGUGAAAAUUCAAGGAAACAAGUGAAAAAAAACGUAAAAUUUUUCAAUUAGACUUGAGAUCUUUCUUUCCCAUGCAUUUCUCCUUAUUUUCCAUGGUUAAAUUUCAUGAUGCCAGGGUGAAUUCAUGGCUAGCCAAAUGGGUAUGGAGAGAGAAAUGAUGUUGGAAUUGUUUGAUUUUGAGUUAUGUUAGUGAUUAAGGUUAGUUUAACAUAUUUAGAAGCAAAACAACAAGAAAAAAAUCCAUUUUCCCCAUGAAUCUUCAUUGGCCGAAUCUUCCUUGAUGUGUGUGGGUGAUCGAUUGUUAUUAUUUCAAGAGAAAUGGCUUAGAAAAUGAUGAAUAAUGGUGAGAAAAUUAAGUAGGAAAAAUCACGGUGUUAAUGAACCAUUAUUGAUUGAAAUUUUUAAGAAGAAAAGUGAAGAUGGUUUUGCCAAAUUUUAGGUUAUUUGACUUGUAUUUGGUGAAUUAAGGUAUUGAAAAAGAAAUGGAGCAAUUUGGAGCUAAAUAGGACGCGUUGGCCAAUUAAUCGGGUGAUAAGACGAAUUAGGCCAAUACAGGGGAUUAGAUGGUUACCAGUGCGUUUUGCAUUCCAUAUCAUGAAUUAGUAGUCUAAAUUAGUUUAAUUUUGAUUUAGUACCAAAGUAGUAAGUUUCUCGAUUUUGUACUAUGUCAAGGUGGUGAGUCCUCCGAUAAAGGCAAAGAAAUUGCUUCCGAGGACCAGUAGUCAGAGUACUUCGAAAAUUCGCACUCUAGACAUUGUGAGUAACCUUACCAUCAUUUUGAUUAUCUAAAGUAUGUUUUUAUUCGGUUUUGGUGAAAUUUUAUGAAAAUGAGUUUUAAUGGUAAAUCUUUAUGUUUAUAAACAAAAUGAGUUUAAACGAAAUGAUUUUAUAAAUUGUCUUGAAAUCGAAUGACGGUUUUGAAAAUAGAGUAAUUGGAGACCAUUGAUAUGUUGUAAAUUUAUGAUUUGAAUUGAUGGCUUAUGUUAAUGUGUUGGCAUGACUGACUAGGUUGUAUUUUUGUGAACUGUAUGAAUUGUUCUAUUUUACACUUGCAGGCUGGGUAGUAUUAUAUUAGUCAUGUCAUGCUGUCAAAAUUUUAUUGUAUGGUGGGUUUAGCUUGCUGCAGUGGGCGGGUUUCUGUGGACCAGCCUAUUAGAGGGGCACAGUAAACCUCUUUAUAUUUUACCUCGGUUGGAGAGGCUAGUAAGGUAACUCCCGAGGUAUAACUUUUAGAGUUUACUUCACGCCAAACCACCACGUGAGGGGGAACUCGGCCAACGCUAAGGAACGGCUAUAUUUUUAAA